GAUGAAGAACGUAGCGAAAUGCGAUAAGUAAUGUGAAUUGCAGAAUUCAGUGAAUCAUCGAGUCUUUGAACGCACAUUGCGCCCCCUGGUAUUCCGGGGGGCAUGCCUGUCCGAGCGUCAUUGCUGCCCUCAAGCCCGGCUUGUGUGUUGGGCCUCGUCCCCCCUCCGGGGGACGGGCCCGAAAGGCAGCGGCGGCACCGUGUCCGGUCCUCGAGCGUAUGGGGCUUUGUCACCCGCUCUGUAGGCCCGGCCGGCGCCUUAGCCGACGACACAAUCUUUUUUUUCAGGUUGACCUCGGAUCAGGUAGGGAUACCCGCUGAACUUAAGCAUAUCAAUAAGCGGAGGA
This 346-nucleotide unclassified non-coding RNA is filed under the name soil metagenome. RNAcentral's name for it is "partial contains 5.8S ribosomal RNA, internal transcribed spacer 2, and large subunit ribosomal RNA". The stretch from base 1 to 120 matches the Rfam family "5.8S ribosomal RNA", at positions 35 to 154 of the family's 154-position model. The record is from RNAcentral.